Molecule: non-coding RNA, 29 nt
Filed under: Rattus norvegicus (Norway rat)
Lineage: Eukaryota; Metazoa; Chordata; Mammalia; Rodentia; Muridae
Source: RNAcentral
UAGUCUGUUGUGUUUGCAGACAGGAGCCU